Molecule: long non-coding RNA, 234 nt
Filed under: Elaeis guineensis (African oil palm)
Lineage: Eukaryota; Viridiplantae; Streptophyta; Magnoliopsida; Arecales; Arecaceae
Description: long non-coding RNA (EGUI_LNC070891)
Source: RNAcentral
CAUACUAAGCUACAAAUAUAGGAACCACCAAUAGUCAAGUCAUUGCUAAAAAAAAAAAUUAUGCUCUGAAUAUAUCUGAUCGAAGCCAUAAACUGCUCAAUAAUUCUCCAAGUUAGCCUAUAGCCCUAAUAUCAUGUAGAGGCACAAACAUACAGGCUACCAAUCUCUAAGUUUAUAGCUCUGAUAUCAUGUAGAAUGGCAUACUACAUGUACUAGAUUGAUUGUGUUGGCUCA